This 254-nucleotide ribosomal RNA is filed under the name uncultured bacterium. RNAcentral describes it as "partial 16S ribosomal RNA". It matches the Rfam family "Bacterial small subunit ribosomal RNA", at positions 524 to 776 of the family's 1533-position model. The record is from RNAcentral.
UACGUAGGGUGCAAGCGUUGUCCGGAAUUAUUGGGCGUAAAGAGCUCGUAGGCGGUGUGUCGCGUCGGCCGUGAAAACUUGCAGCUUAACUGUGGGCGUGCGGUCGAUACGGGCAUCACUGGAGUUCGGCAGGGGAGACUGGAAUUCCUGGUGUAGCGGUGAAAUGCGCAGAUAUCAGGAGGAACACCGGUGGCGAAGGCGGUUCUCUGGGAAUGUCCUGACGCUGAGGAGCGAAAGUGUGGGGAGCGAACAGG